CAGCCGCCGCGGUAAAACGAAGGGUGCAAGCGUUACUCGGAAUUACUGGGCGUAAAGCGUGCGUAGGUGGUGGUUUAAGUCCGUUGUGAAAGCCCUGGGCUCAACCUGGGAAUUGCAGUGGAUACUGGGUCACUAGAGUGUGGUAGAGGAUAGUGGAAUUUCCGGUGUAGCAGUGAAAUGCGUAGAGAUCGGAAGGAACAUCUGUGGCGAAGGCGACUAUCUGGGCCAACACUGACACCGAGGCACGAAAGCGUGGGGAGCAAACAGGAUUAGAUACCCGAGUAGUCCCUGUCUCUUAUAC
Molecule: ribosomal RNA, 301 nt
Filed under: uncultured bacterium
Lineage: Bacteria
Description: partial 16S ribosomal RNA
Rfam family: Bacterial small subunit ribosomal RNA
Source: RNAcentral